UACGUAGGGUGCAAGCGUUGUCCGGAAUUAUUGGGCGUAAAGAGCUCGUAGGCGGUUCGUCGCGUCGGCUGUGAAAACCUGAGGCUCAACCUCAGGCCUGCAGUCGAUACGGGCGGACUUGAGUACUGCAGGGGAGACUGGAAUUCCUGGUGUAGCGGUGAAAUGCGCAGAUAUCAGGAGGAACACCGGUGGCGAAGGCGGGUCUCUGGGCCGAUACCGAGCGUGGAGGAGCGAAAGCGUGGGGAGCGAAACAGG
This 255-nucleotide ribosomal RNA is filed under the name uncultured bacterium. RNAcentral describes it as "partial 16S ribosomal RNA". It matches the Rfam family "Bacterial small subunit ribosomal RNA", at positions 524 to 776 of the family's 1533-position model. The record is from RNAcentral.